RNAcentral lists this ribosomal RNA (427 nucleotides) under bacterium. RNAcentral describes it as "bacterial SSU rRNA". It matches the Rfam family "Bacterial small subunit ribosomal RNA", at positions 354 to 776 of the family's 1533-position model. The record is from RNAcentral. RNAcentral also lists the same sequence under 1 other name.
GUGAGGAAUAUUGGUCAAUGGACGCAAGUCUGAACCAGCCAAGUAGCGUGCAGGAUGACGGCCCUCCGGGUUGUAAACUGCUUUUAGUUGGGAAUAAAAGGGGGCUCGUGAGCCCCGUAUUGUAUGUACCAUCAGAAAAAGGACCGGCUAAUUCCGUGCCAGCAGCCGCGGUAAUACGGAAGGUCCGGGCGUUAUCCGGAUUUAUUGGGUUUAAAGGGAGCGUAGGCCGGCUUUUAAGUCAGCUGUGAAAGUCCGCGGCUCAACCGUGGAAUUGCAGUUGAAACUGGAGGCCUUGAGUGCACACAGGGAUGCCGGAAUUCAUGGUGUAGCGGUGAAAUGCUUAGAUAUCAUGAAGAACUCCGAUCGCGAAGGCAAGUGUCCGGGGUGCAACUGACGCUGAGGCUCGAAAGUGCGGGUAUCAAACAGG